GGCCGGGGGCUGUACGACAAGCCCCGUAAACCCCGCCAGGUCCGAGAGGAAGCAACGGUAGCGGAUCGCCUGUGUGUUGCGGUUUUCCCGGUCUCC
RNAcentral lists this signal recognition particle RNA (96 nucleotides) under bacterium. Its description in RNAcentral is "signal recognition particle sRNA small type". It matches the Rfam family "Bacterial small signal recognition particle RNA". Rfam says of the family: The signal recognition particle (SRP) is a universally conserved ribonucleoprotein involved in the co-translational targeting of proteins to membranes. Archaeal SRP consists of a 7S RNA and homologues of the eukaryotic SRP19 and SRP54 proteins. In most bacteria, the SRP consists of a 4.5S RNA and the Ffh protein (a homologue of the eukaryotic SRP54 protein). The record is from RNAcentral.